This is a non-coding RNA of Odocoileus virginianus texanus, 728 nucleotides long. The record is from the annotation of a RefSeq genome assembly. Lineage: Eukaryota; Metazoa; Chordata; Mammalia; Artiodactyla; Cervidae.
CCUGGGGCCCACAGAGCCCCACCCCUGACAACCUUCUGGCCGCCUCAGGCAUAGGACCCGGUCCAGGUCCCAGGGAGGGGUCAGUGUGAUGGACGGGAUCAUCUGCAUGAAAGGACACUCCCCCUCUCAGAGUUUGAAGAGGGGAAGGAGCGGUGUGGGGAUGCUCUGCUCAGCUGUGGGGUCCCAGACGGCAGGACGCCCUGACCAUGUCCACCAUGGCCUGGUCCCUUCUGGUCCUCACCCUGGUCGCUCUCUGCACAGGAUCCUGGGCCCAGGAUGUGCUGACUCAGCCAUCAUCCGUGUCCGGGUCCCUGGGCCAGAGGGUCACCAUCUCUUGCUCUGGAAGCAGCAGCAACAUUGGGGGUGAUAGUGUGAGCUGGUACCAACAGCUCCCAGGAAAGGCCCCCAGAUUCCUGAUCUAUGGUGAUGAUACCAGAGCCUUGGAGAUCCCAGAUCCAAUCUCUGGCUCCAAGUCUGGGAACUCGGCCUCCCUGACCAUCACUUCGCUCCAGGGUGAGGAUGAAGCUGAUUAUUCCUGCAGGUUUUACGAUGACAGCUUGGAUAGUCACACAGUGCUCCAGGCCAGGGUGGACCUCCGCUCCUCUCUGACGCUAGUAUCUGACCUUCGGGGGUCCCUGCAGUUCCAGGCCUCCGGACUGGAGUCCGGGCUCCGUGGCCAUCCCUGGGCUGAGCUGAGGCCCAGGCUGCUGCUCCUGCUGUUUCUGUGA